Molecule: ribosomal RNA, 253 nt
Filed under: uncultured bacterium
Lineage: Bacteria
Description: partial 16S ribosomal RNA
Rfam family: Bacterial small subunit ribosomal RNA
Source: RNAcentral
UACAGAGGGGGCAAGCGUUGUUCGGAAUCAUUGGGCGUAAAGCGCACGUAGGCGGCCUCAUAAGUCGGAUGUGAAAUCCCUCGGCUCAACCGAGGACGUGCAUCCGAAACUGUGAAGCUCGAGUAUGGAAGAGGGUCGCGGAAUUCCCGGUGUAGAGGUGAAAUUCGUAGAUAUCGGGAGGAACACCAGUGGCGAAGGCGGCGACCUGGGCCAAUACUGACGCUGAGGUGCGAAAGCGUGGGGAGCAAACAGG